AUUCUUAAAACCUAGAGGUGUUCUUCACUUUUCAGGGGGAUUUAUUGAUGAUACUUGUUGAUUAAUCCAUGAAAAAUACCAAUACAUGGUUCGUGAGCAGACGAACCAUUGAAAGGGCCUAGCGCAGUCUAGCUACAUCCAGCCAGAUACUAGUAGAACCCAAAACAUUGUUUUGACAAGUACUGUCAUAUUUCGGUUGCAGUUUUUCACUAAAUACCAAGCUAAUCCUAGCCUGAGCUACGACAGUUUUACCUACAAAUGUUAGCGUUUCGUGCUGCAACUAGUAGUUGAUAUUCCAGGAUGUUAUGCCUAAAAUUGGAAUUCAGCUAUCAGAGAUUAGCAAAAUUCAAGCGGAAACUCUAGAUAGCGUUGAUGUGCGUCUAUGAUGAAGAUUAUGAGUGACAAGUUACGUGUUUCUUAUGUUACCCUUUUAUGUGUUUCAAAGGAUUUUUCGUCAAAAAAUUUACGAUUGCUUUUUGUACGUGGUGGUGUUUCGCCUUGUCAGCUAUGCCAGCUGCUGAACCAGCAGCUUGCAUUCCUGCUAUCAAUGUACCACAAGGGAUCCUGACACUUUAAGAAGGCCACUAUUCCUUACAUGAAGAUCACCAUCCAGUUCAAUCAACAACAGAGUCUUCAUCUACUUCGUGUUGCUAACCAUCAGCCCUCAGCAUCCCAGGUAUCCAGAUUUCCAAGUUUCUCUGAUUAGCCAACCAUCAUCCAUACCCUUCAGCACUUCAUUGUGGCUUCUCUUCCUCUCUUCUUAGUCUGCUGAUUGCCAACAUUGAAUAAGGUUCAUCGUCAUAGCAUUUCCAUGGUAUUUUCAUUUGGUGGAUUAUCUAGCUGCUGUUUUUUGCACCGUUGCUUAGCCAGCUCACAUGGACAUGCUUUACCAACAUCUCCAUUUUUUUGGACUGGAAAUAUUCAUCUUCCUUCGUCGUCUUGGCCGUCUUCGCCUUCAUCUCCGUCUCGUCGUCUUGGCCGUCUUCGCCUUCAUCUCCGUCUUCGCCUUCAACUCCGUCUCGUCGUCUUGGACGUCUUCGCCUUUGUUUCAUCGCCGUCUUGGCCGUUUAUCUCUACGCCAUCACUUUGUCGCCGGCUUCUCCUUCGCCCUUCACGUAGGGAGUUCACCGUGGAUCGUCGUCCUGGUAUUGUCUUAUUUGGCAUUUUUAUGUUUAAGUUAACCCGUUGGCUGCCACCCCGUUUGCGUCCCAUUUUUUUUGUAGCUUGUAGGGACCGGCCGCAAUGGCCUUCGCCGCAAGGCGCCUUAGGCAAUGCACCAGUAGGGACUUCUCUUUGUCGAUGCGGUGGCGGAUUCCUGAGGGUGUGCAUUCCCUGUAAUGGAUUCCGUCACCGUGUCAGCCCGGACUUGUCUUCGGACAAGUCCCACCUUGUUCGCGAUCCUUAUGACGCGAUGCGUAGCUACUGUAGUUUAAGCAACCUACGGGUUGCAUGGCCUGGCAGCCAACGGGUUAACUUAGUUAAUUGUAUGUAUGUUUAUGUAAAUAUGUGUAUGUAUAUUUAUUGUGAUGUAAAAUAGUGGUGGAAUUG
RNAcentral lists this long non-coding RNA (1548 nucleotides) under Daphnia magna. RNAcentral's name for it is "uncharacterized LOC116932798, transcript variant X3". Lineage: Eukaryota; Metazoa; Arthropoda; Branchiopoda; Diplostraca; Daphniidae. The record is from RNAcentral.